UUGGCCAAUCAUAGUCCAUA
This 20-nucleotide non-coding RNA is filed under the name Arabidopsis thaliana (thale cress). Lineage: Eukaryota; Viridiplantae; Streptophyta; Magnoliopsida; Brassicales; Brassicaceae. The record is from RNAcentral.